CUGGUCUAAUUAGCAUACACAGCUGAAAUUUAGGGACCUGGGAUGAAGAAAAAAGAGAGGGAGACAUCCACUUAAAUCUCUUUGUCAGGCAGUGGCAUAGGAAGUUGUAAAGACUUGCAGUGCAGAGGUUGCUUCUGUUUGCCUUGCUUGAGGGGGGGCAGUGUAAGGAAAAGGAGCUGCUGUAAAUGCUAGUUGUUUUCAUGCCUUUGAAAUCUGCUAAGUCAGCUUUCCUAAGAAGUGGGAGUGUAGUACUAGUGGUGCCAUUUCCUAUGUUUUAAACUAUGCAGCUGUAGAGCCUAGGAUGGGGAAUAUCUAACUCUCAGCUUUCUUCAGCCCAAGGUGGAAAUGUUCUCCCAUUUCCAAGACCAGCAGAGCACCCUGUAUCCUACAUGAGAGCACCCACCUCUUCUUUUCAAGCCAAGCCAUGAAAACAAAGGAGAACCGAGCAGCAGCCAGCAGAGACACCCCAAAGUGAUGCAGCCGUACCAGCAACGGGGAACUCAUCCCUGGUGAUACCAGGAGAAAUCCCAACUCAUCUCCAGGACACUGAAGCAGAGUGUAGGAGCCUGUAGUCCUCCACUGGGGUUGCUUUGGGAGAGGCUGACCCAGCUGGACUGCAGUGGUAGGGACUGCAGCAAAGAGCCUGAGCAACAUUCAAGGAAUGUGCUAUACAUGGACUCCUAAUGGAAUUAGAGUAUCUGCAUCCUGCCCACAUGGACUAAAGCAUUGGAUCGGGGCCUAUCAUUUACAGGUGUGAUUUUCUUUCACCAAAAGGCCUUUAAAAUAUGCAAUUUCCUCUCUCAGUUAUCAUAGAAUCCUAAAAUCGUUAAGGCUGGAAAAGACCACCAAGAUGUAACCGUCAGCCCACCCCCACCAUGCCCACUGACCACGUCCCUCAGUGCCACAUCUCUACGGAACACCUCCAGGGAUGGUGACUGUACCACCUCCAUGGGCAGCUGUGCCACUGCAGCACCACUCCUUCUGAGAAGAAAUUUUGUCCUAAUGUCAUAAGAAGAACAUAGGAAUAUAUGUAUAUGUAUAUAUAUGUAUACAGUAAUAAGGCAAGUCAACAGUCCUAGCAAGAAAAUGACCAUCCAAAUCUCAUACACCAUAAGGACAAAAAGGCUUGUGUGUUGCAAGAUGGGGAAUGUAUGUCCAAUGUGUGGAGUUUUUAACACCAACACAAAGAAUCACUGAAGCCUGACUCUUCUGUUUGAUCAGGAAUGAGUAAGACUCAGAACACAAAGAUGUCACCAAUUAGCAGCAUCUCAGCUAGAAGUGUGAAUAUUUUUAGAAAAAUGGAAAGAAUGGGAGGUUUAUUUUUAAACAAAGAGGAGCUUUUAAUCAGAUGGAGAAACACAUAUUAUGGGGGAUGCUUUGCAAAAAUCCGUCGGGAGCUUGGUUGCCUAGUUCCAGCAGGAAUGGUAUCUAACACUUUUUGCUUCUUUUUUCACUUUGGACAUUUUUAAUUCCCCCAGUGACGAUGCAGUCCUGUGAGGCAGACCACGUGGGACUCCCUGUUAAGACACAGUCAAGAGAUGACAUCAGUCUUUGUAGGAUCAUAGGAAAUAGCAUCACAGGUGAAGGCACAAAGUACUGAAGUUUCAGAAGAAAAAACAACACAGAAUCUUUGUAUCAAUCCAGUAAAAAAAAGCAACCCAAAAAACAACCUCACCACUUUGGGAAGGAUCUCCUCAAAAGAAAGCUGAUGAGUUGACUGGCAUCAGAGACUGUCCAAACCAAGGAGUCAGAUGGAAAGGACCACGAGGGAAAUUGGGCUGCAUACCCAAGAGAAGGCUUUGAAACAAUGCAAUCCCAUUUUCACAACGUCCAGCAUGGAGAUGUGAUGUCCAAAUCUCCAGUACCACUGUGCUUGCACAGGCAGAGCCUUGCCAGCUUUUCAGUCAGGCUGAGGCUGAAUUUGCCACAAGAGCAAGUCCUAGGAUGUGCAUUCAAGACGAGGAACAGGACCUUGUCCCACAGAGAACUUUUCCACCAAGCAAGCCCAGGGUGUCAGACUAGGAGCCUGUUUCUGUUUUCUGCAUUACAUUCAGCUCAAUCAAUCAUUCAAUGGCUUCCAUCCUUAUUUUUCCUCUGUCCUUUCCAGUCAGACUUUGUUCUCUUCAGACUGGUGGUGGGUUUGUGCCUGGUACAGAGGGUGCUCACCUGAGCCAGGGACAUGAUGGUUGCUGUCAUGCUAAUCAUAAUUUUCCUCAGAAAGGAAAUAGCAAAUGCCUUUGUGUCUUGUUCUCCUGCCCUUGUGCUCCCAGACCCCUGCUCUGAGGACAGGACACUUCCCCUCUGCCUCCUUUUGCUCUGAUUUGCCUUGCCUUCCCCAAGCCCUACUGCUAACUGCACUCUCACUGAUUAUUUUCUUUUCAGAGGCUGUAAACUUCAGUUCCUGCUCAGCUUGCAUUAGUGUCAGAGAAGUAUCUCUUGGCUGUUUACAGAAGAGAAAAUGGAAAGAUGAGCAUUAUUUCAUGUGAAAUAUGGUAGAGAGCCUAUGCUGAGUUUCUCUGUGAGGCCUGAGGCUCCAGCUACCUGAAGAAGCUGGUGAAAGCAUCCGUCAUCUGGUGAUUCAUCUCCCCCUGCCAUGGCUCUGGCCCUGCUCUGCGUGGGUGUCUCACAGCUCUCAUCAACUCUGGUUUUGAUGCAGACCAGGAGCUGCUGGGCUGUUCGCCCAAGUUUAUCUUGUAUGAAAGAGUUUGCUUGCUUUUCAAUUGUCUGGUGUUCUCCUGAAGAUGUAAAUUAAAAAAAAUAAAAAAAAAAAUAAAAAAAACAGGUUUUCUUGUAGAUUGCUUUUCAGCUGUUUCUACUAGGAGUGAGAAAAUGGGGAUUGGUGCUCAAGGGAUGUCUCUGGUGCGAGGUCAUACCAGUCCAAUCCCUUCUUGGAAAGAG
Long non-coding RNA from Gallus gallus (chicken), 2898 nucleotides. The record is from Ensembl. Lineage: Eukaryota; Metazoa; Chordata; Aves; Galliformes; Phasianidae.